RNAcentral lists this ribosomal RNA (497 nucleotides) under uncultured bacterium. Its description in RNAcentral is "partial 16S ribosomal RNA". It matches the Rfam family "Bacterial small subunit ribosomal RNA", at positions 28 to 507 of the family's 1533-position model. The record is from RNAcentral.
GAUGAACGCUGGCGGCGUGCCUAACACAUGCAAGUCGAGCGAACGGACGAGAAGCUUGCUUCUCUGAUGUUAGCGGCGCACGGGUGAGUAACACGUGGAUAACCCCCCUAUAAGACUGUGAUCACUUCGGGACACCGGAGCUAAUACCGGAUAAUAUUUUGAACCGCAUGGUUCAAAAGUGAAAGACGGCCUUGCUGUCACUUAUAGAUGGAUCCGCGCUGCAUUAGCUAGUUGGUAAGGUAACGGCUUACCAAGGCAACGAUGCAUAGCCGACCUGAGAGGGUGAUAGGCCACACUGGAACUGAGACACGGUCCAGACUCCUAAGGGAGGCAGCAGUAGGGAAUGUGACGCAAUGGGCGAAAGCCUGACGGAGCAACGCCGCGUGAGUGAUGAAGGUCUUCGGAUCGUAAAACUCUGUUAUGAGGGAAGAACAUAUGUGUAAGUAAAUGUGCAGAGCGUGACGGUACCUAAUCAGAAAGCAACGGCUAACUACGUG